GCGGAGAUGGAAGGGCUCGUUGCGGUGCUCUGUUCUGGCAAAGGAACUGGGUGCGUUGGCAGGCGAGAGUGAUGAAUUCUGCUUUUAACGUCGUCUCCGUGGCAUUCUGCCUGAAAGAUGGGCAUGGAAGUGGUGCUGAGGGAUGUGGGCUGAAUCGAGAAAACAGGGACUUUUGUCUUUAGGGUGAGAAAUUUUCCGGUCCUUAGGAGGCACCGUGCUGCUGCAGUCGCAUUGGUCUUCCAUGCGUGCCUUCUAAAACAUUUCUUUUUUCUUUCACUACUAAAAAUUUAGCACUGUGUCUUUGAUAUUAGAACUUAGUUGCACACCUUCUCCCAUACGAUCAUAUUUAAGAAGCUUUACAUCUUCAAUCAUCCUCGACUGUGGGUUUUUUUUUUUUUUUUUGGAAUCACUAAUUGCUGUAUUUAGCUUUUCUAAAACAUUUCCUUCUCGAACAGGUCUCCCCGUGUCCAUUGCUAUCUCACAUUUCUUGAGAACAGUACAUUUCUGUAGUUCUAAUGUUAGAUCCUAGUAUACCUACCCACCAUUCUUCUUUCCCACAAGGUCAUCCUAGAGAGGAUUUUGAUCUGAGUUUCUCUAAAAAACAGAUGUUCCCCACCUUUUCUAUCAACUAUCAAAUUACUAUAAAGGUGUACUCGGAUUUUUCAAUGUCCUCCUGCUCUGAUAGCUCCAUUAUGCGAUUAUGUUAGUGGAUAACUAACUAUGUUUGCAUUACCUUGCUGUAGUAUAACACGCACCAAGUUUUUGUUUAAAAUAAUUGAGGACAAAUAUCCUGUCAAACUUAAAAUAUAAAUUGCAAUUGUUCCUCAGUAAAAUACAGCUGUCUCUGAUACCCAGAAGACUGUUUUCAGAAAGGAUACCCACAUACAUAUCCCAAAAUCUGCAGAUUACAUAACAUGGUAUAUUUGCAUAUAAUCUAUACACAUCUUUCUCUAUACUUUGUCAUUUCUAGACUGCUUAUAAUGCCUAAUAGAAUGUAAAUGCUAUGCAAAUAAUUGCUAUAUUGUAUGGUUUAGGGCAUAAAGACUAGGGGGAAAAGGCAGUACAUGUUGGGUACUGAUGCAGAAUUUGAUCUGAUUGGUUAAAUCCGUGGUUGCAGAACCCAUGGAUAUGAGAACUGGCAGUAUAAUUCAGUUAUUACUUCUUGGUUACAUAUUGACAAACUAUGAGAAGUUAAAUCUGAACUACCAGAAUCGUGGUGAAAGCACUCUGAGAAAAAUAAAAUAUCAGAAAUGUUUUAAGGGAAUGUAAACUGACAAGAAUCAUAUAUGAAUCUAAUCUAGUAAUGUAAAGAAGUAAAUUUAAACAUAGAGCUUACAUGGAUAUGUCAUACCUGAGCAACAGUGGCUAUAAUUCAAGAGGAUCAUACAGGUAAAUACAAUGUUCAUCUAGCUUUAUAGAAGUCUCAUAUUUUGUGUAAAACUGAUAUGUGUUUUUAUGAUUAGUAGCAGCUUCAUUUUUCUGAGGACAGACUGUCUCUUGUAGGCUGCAAAUUGUGCAUCUUGAUGAUAAGAAGUUCCUGUGCUUGCUGAGGAUUAAGUUGAGUCAAGAAUCAUCAAACUCUGUCUGUAAAGGUCAUGACAGCCCAUGUUGUACCUUGCAUUACAGUAGUACUGACAAUUCAUUCACUUUGCAAGGGAUAAAGGUACCAUGAUGUUUCUUUUUUUGAAAAUUUUGCAUUGGGGUUAUGGAUACUCAAGGUAAAUUUAGGCAUCUGUUUUCAUUAUUCCUAGGUCCCCAAAGUUGGGAAACUCUAGAUUGUAGUGCAUCUAAUAGCAGUUGUUACAAAAAUAGUGAGGGGCAACCUAGCACCCCACUUAGAAUAAUAGCUUUUUGACAUUCCUCAAGCUAUUUUCCCUGACCUUUCAUCAUGUUGACUUUUUCAAUAGGGAGAAGUGUAGAAACUGCAGCCCAUGGAGUGAUUGUGACCAUUUAUGUUUCUCAUAUGACAGGCCUCAGUUUUCAUUCCCAUUCGUUGCCAUAAAGCAAAAGAAACACAAUGGGUAGUAGCUUAUUUUUUGUAUCUACUUUGGCUUGGAUAUUGGUGGUAUGGAGACCAGGCCGAUGCUGGCGGAGUCUGGGAGGGGCAGAGAUGGAAGGGCUCCUUUGAUUUGUGGCUGUAUGUAGCAUAGUGGUUAAAAGGUUAGCUGCUGUAAGAAGGAUGUGAGGACAUUUAGAGAAUUUGAAGAUUUGGGUGGGAGAUGGGUGUCUAUUUCCUGAUCCCUUGAUCAUGUUCAUUUAUGUGUCUGUAUAACCUUUAUUCGAGGCUUGAUUUUAGAAAUAAAAAUAUAUAUCUUCAUUUUUUUGUAGGAAAGAAAACAAAAAAGAGAUAAGGUGAAAAUGAUUUUUUCCCCAAGAGCAGUAAAUCUUUAUGACAGUAGAAACUCAACACUAUACACUGACACUGUGGGGUCCCUGCAGUUUCAGAAGUAUGUUUCUGUGAGAAAAGAGGGAGAGGGAGAGGGAGGGGGAGAGGGAGAGGGAGAGGGAGACUUCAUUUCUGGGAGAGGGAGAGGGAGAGGGAGACUUCAUUUCUUUUCUCCCCACUGGAUCUGAAAGGGAGUUAUCUCACCUAUAUCCAGAUACCCUCAAUUGUCACACAUGUGUUACCAUAGAAACCUAGCUUCUUUCUUCCUUUCUGUGAAAGAUGUUGGAAAAGGUGGAACAAAGUGGGAAAUAAAAUACACUGUGUUCUGGGACUUCCUGAUGCGCACAAGAAGCAAAUACAUAAAGAAAUUUAGUACAAAUAAGUUAAUAGAAGAUGUUUGUAAUAUGACCGGUACUUAUUGGCUCUAAAACCCUGAUUCAAAUUGCUUCCUUUUAAUACGUGCAUGUCUCUGAUUAAUCAUAAAGAGAAAGGACAUAUAAAGUACAUUAGCACCUGUGAAGGGCUGCUGGCAAUUAUAAAAGGAACAGAUGAAAUUUUCCUAGCCUCUGAGGCUCCUAAUACAUUGAGAAACAAGUCCACAUGAGGAGUGGAAAGGAAGGGGCAAAUAAGCUUGCUCUUCUUUUGAAAAUGUGACAUGUCUUAGUGCUUUCGGAAAGAAAAAGAAUUAGAGUAUAGACACUGAAUGCAUAUGUAAACAAGUCAAUGAGGAAACCUGUUUGUUAAGAAAGCAAAUGUUUCAAAAGACAACUUUAAUCGGAAAACAUUUCUAAAAGAAACUGCUUAAUGAUUAAAAUGUAGGGAAGAAAACCAAAAAACCCUGAAGAAUCUAAAGAGCUCAAGGGUUCUGAGGGAAGAUGGGAAGAACCUAGAUCCUGGUUGAGGACAUUGAACCUCAAGCCCACCCUGGAAAUGCUCUCCUGUGGCUCAUGGCUAAGUAAACAUCCAGUGUCCUUUGCUGUAAGUCUAUUAGAUUCUCUGUACCCUAUAGUCAGAUACAUCUCAACUCUUACAGAAAUUGGGAGGAAUUCCAGACAAAAUGGUGUUUUAAAAAAUUCAGCAAGCAUUUGUGACUACUUUCAUUCUCUUGAAUGAAAUGAUGAAUGAUAUGAUAAAGAUAUUUAUUAAACACUCAGUAUGUAUAUUUUUCUGAGUUCUGAACAGUAAAUGAAUAGCCAAAUGAGCUUGUGUUCUAGCAGGAGAGAAAUACAUUAAUAAACCAAUCGCAUUAUGUAAAAUUAAUGCCAAUAAGGGAAAAUGAGAGAGUUUAAAGGGUGUGUAAUAAAAUAUAGAUAAAUAAUAAAAGAAAACAUAAUUAAAGAAGGGAACAAAAUUAUAGAUGCAAAUGCCUCCUAAGAACAUGAUAAUAUAAUGUCUACUUUGUACAUGAAUUCCUAGAGGGCAAGAGAAACAGGAAGGAAACCUGAAUGAGAUAGUCAAGGAAAGCUGAGGCCAAUUCAUACUGGAAACACCUUUUGAAGGAGGUGGACAAAGGAAAGGCUAGAUGGGACAGAUGGGAGGAUGCAAGGAUCCAGAAGAGCAAAGGAAAAAAGCGGGGAUUGAGUAGGAGCAAGAUGAGGGAGAUUCCAAAUCACUGGAUCCAUAAUCCCCCUCACAGUAGCGUUACAGGGAUGCCACUUGGGAAAUAUCAGAAGUUAGAACUCUCAACGCAAGAUUAUAAAAGGUGCAAAACUAAUGUAAGGAGAAAAAGUGGGAGUACAGAGUGCAUUUGAAAUUAAGGCAUUAUUCAAAAUAAUGAAUAAUUUGAAAUGUGGGCGUCAUCAAAGAAUUGUCAUGAGAAGUAAUCAUGGACCCAAGGGCACUGAGGAGCAAUUCAAACUUUCACAAAUAAAAGAAAAAUGAAGAGUAGAAAAGAAAGUACAGACAGGUAGGAUAAAAGUCUUGCUUAUGGUUAUUUUUUAUGGUAGUGAUUAUUGACAUGCAUUAUGUAAAAAUGGAUUUGAUUGAAAGAUGCAUUUCAUUAGCCUAGUAAUAUGUAAAGGUGGUCUUUUUGGUAAAUAAUGUAAUUUAAAGUGUUUUCCUUGGAUUUUUUUUUUUUUUUUUUGUAACUUGCUGUGGAAAAGUCUUUUCAGUAACGAAACCAUAAAGAACAAUAAUUUACAUGUAAGUGAAGCAUUUGGGCAAUAAAAAGAAAAAUAAUGUAGAUGUGCCAGAUGUAAUAGUAGAGCAAUAAUAAUAAUAAAUACUUUUAGUGAAAAUCAGAAUUUUGUUAGGCAUAAUGUGGUUUAUGGUCGAGUAUAGCUAAGAAAAUUUUCUGGGGGGAAAAAAAACAAAAACAAGCUACAGUGGCCAAUGAACACCUUGAUGUUACUGGAGGUAGAAUUUACCGUUCACAUUUGUGACCCCAGGUGUCACCUGAACAGAUAUCGGUCUUUACACUAAUAGCACAUUGAGUAAAUUGGACAAAUCCUCUACAUGAUUCUGAUUUGCCCUGGGGUUAAAAAUCAACAAUAUUAUUAAAUAUUCAUUCUACAUUUUCUGAAGUAAAAAAUCACACUUAAAGUCAAUGGUGAUCCUGAAAAUGUCUACGAGGAUACAGAAUAACAAGAUUACAUACUUCAAAUCCAGAAUUUAACUUAAAUUCUUCCUCCCCAUUUGUCCCUUACACAUGAAUUAAUCUCUCACCAGAUUCCCCACUUUAUACCUCUCUUCUCAUGUGUACCACAGUUUAUCUUGUAUUAUAUUUAUCUCCAUCUGUCAUUUUAGCUGGUUUGGGGACCCAUGAAAGUUGGGGGAGGGGGUAGAAGCUAUAAUGUUUCUGUCUUUCUAAUCUCUAUACUGCUCUAGCUAGUCAAUGGUAUAUAUUUAAUAAGUAUUGAUUGAAUUAGAUUGAAUAUAAAAUAUUAAAUGGCAUUACAGUUAUAAUAAAUUUCCAUGUUAUUGAAUUAUUGCAUUCUGUCUAUUAAAGGAUAUUAUUUCUAGUUUCAUAAUACUUAAAGAUCAAUGCUAUUUUUCAGCUUUGAACUUCAACUCUAAAUGAAGGAAAACUGUAACGGUGAAAUUUCAAAUAGCUGUAAUUCCUCAAAGAGCAGUGACAUAGGCUUAAUACAGAACAAUUACAGCUGGGCCACAUCCUUUAGUCAGUCAUUUGUUUUUCUUACCAAAUCCUUCUAUUAAGACAAACAAAUUCUGGAUCUGACUGAAGAGUAGGAAAUGUAGAAAGCCUUUCAUUUUUAUGUGAAAUGAAAAUAAAAUUUUCAUUGCAUGAAAUUUCAUUGCAUGUGAAAUUACACUUUAAAAUAAUCACAUCAACUUCUGUUUCAAUAAAAAAUUAUUUCAAUUAGAUAAAAAUAACAAUAAUAAAACAAAUCACCAAGGCAAAUAACUUUUAAAAGAUAAAAGUCAUUGAGGUUAAAGAAUAUUAAGAAUAUUAAUUUAUAAAAACAUAAACAUACCCUUGCUAUAGUUUUUUGUCUUGUGUCCCCUUAAAAUUUCAGGAGUGUUUCUUGCUUAGAAAUCAAGGAUGUCUGAGUGGCAGGACUUGGACGGGCUGCGAAGGAAAUAUUUAUGUCUUUAAUUCCCUUAUUAAGGAUCCUGUCUUUCAUUCCAGCCUCAGGCCUGGUGUAGGCAGGACAGGAAAGCUCAGAGAUGGUGGGUGGGUACAGAAACUUCAAGACUAGUCAGAUGCAGCAGACAGGGUGGAGCGCUGACGACAGGAGCCUUGUGAGUCCCCAGUUGCUGCCUUGGUUAGGGACCCUGGGCAUGAUGCUUACUAACUACGCAAUCCAAUCUACUCCCGUACAGAUUUUAGAAGCACAGUUGAAUGUGCUAAAAUGGAAUUCCUACCUACUCAGAACAUUAUACUUCUGUGUGCCCAUAUGCCCAACUUAUUUCCAAAUAUAUUUGGGAAAAAUAAAAUAUGGAUUCUUGGUACUAAAGAGAUAGAAUAUAGUGCAUGUGACCAUUUAUUUUUGUAGUUUCCUUUGGGGUUUUUGUCAUACUCUAGAGGACUUGUGUUGGUGGCACAUGUGUUCCCUAUUCUAGGCAUUGGUACAUCACUGCCUUGCUCAUGGGCCAGUCAGGUCUGUUUCCUCUUGAAUUUAGAACUGGCAUCCAGAGGGAUGGGCGUUCAAACUAGAAAGUAUGAGAAAGCUGCACUGAGCCUUCAUCAUCAGAGAAUGACAAUCUACAGGAAAUGUCAACAAAGUAGAUUCUUAGAAUCAAGAGAAAAGCAGUGGUGACUCACCUAGUUCAGAGGUGGUGUUUCACUUAGCUCUGCAGACCAUUUCUCUUUAGGAGGAAACCAAAGUACAUGUUCCACUGUUGGCAUGUGAGAUUCCCUCCUCCAUGCCAAUCUUCUAUGAAAUUUUCCAUUAAGUUGAUAUCAGUGGGCUUCUGCCACUCACAACUAGAUUCCUCAUAAAGGCAAGUUUGUUCCAUUGGAAUGUGUUUCCUCACACCCCCAUUAACUUUGCAUUGGAAACCAAUGGCAUUCUAUUGCCAGUGUUAAUCAGGUAUUAUGGCCCAAGUAUUUCUCAGAACCUAAUUGCACAUGAUAAUAAUGGCACAUGGUAAUAAUUGCAUUGAUAACAAUGGCUUCUGGAACUGCUAUGUGACAGUAUGUCACAGAGGGUUCUGCCAGGUAGUUUGUCCUUUCUGCAAUGAAGGAAAUACUUUCUCUCAUGCAGAUUUAAUAACAAAAUGUAGUGCACGAGCUACAGACAAUAGCCAGGUCUUGCAAUGUAAAGCCUGGGCUGCAGCCUAGCUCACAGAUCCAGGCAUAGAGCCCAGUGCCAGCCCUCCAAAGAGUGGGCAAUCCAGGAGCAUUUGAGUUUUUCCUGUAGCUAUUCAACAAAUACACAAGGAGGUGUUCUGCUUUGGCUUACCAUUUAUUGUAGUUCUUAUGCAGCGAUAGUUUUCUAGUUGUCUUCUGUAGAAACUGAAAAGUCAUACAGAAUCAUUUAGUUCCUCUUUCAGACAGUACCUGACUUGCCCAGAAACAGGUGGAGCUUCUCCUAUAAAUACAAGGCCUUCUUUCUUGCCUUGACUGCAGUGAGGGAGAUUUGGCGCUUCUGGUUGAUAGUCACAUUUGUAAACUUGCAGUCUUCUCUAAGAUAGCUUUACACUUAAAUUUCAAAUCAAUUGAAAAUGAAACUCUUGACCAUCUUUUUCAUCAUCUAGAUUUGGAUACCCUUGAGAGCAAAGAGGGAUGCUAUUAAUAAUAAAGACAGGACAACAGGCCUCGGGACUGACCCAGGCAAACUAGAUGAUGCUGUCAGCCUGCCCUCAGGUUCCACGCAUGGUUUCUGAGUAACUUGCAUACUGAGAAGCCUAAGGAUUCUUGGUGUCAUUUUUGACCUACCAUCAUUCUCAGGCUCUGGACUCUCACUGGGUCCUGUAGUCCUGUUGACAGCUUCAGCCUCAAUUCAUACUUUCCACUCUAGGUUUGAAUUUUUUCUCUGCUUUUGUACACAGUGAUUUCCCAUUCUAUCACAUAAUCUUGGCUUUGAGGUAACUACAUUUGAUAUAUUAUAUCCAGCAUUUUAUAAGUGUUUGGAAUUGGACCAAGGCCCCUUCUUCAUCAAAUUAUUUUCCAGAUUUCAUUAUAAAUGAGGAUUUGACUUUCCCUGAAUUUCACAUACCCAGAAUGCCAUUUCUGAUGUUUGUCAUGAGCAGAAUUGACACACAGGAAAGCACAGCCAAAAUCUAAAUCUGAGUUCAUCACAAGGCAGAAAGAUUGUCUAAAAAGAAAAAUAAAACUGUCUUCUACCCUAAAAUAUUUAAUAUUUGAACUAAAGUCAGUCCUCUGAUACUCUGAUGGCAGUGUGGCUACAAGUUUUAAACUUGGGGGAGGAACUGGGAUUAUUUGUUUUACCCUUUUUUUUUCAGCCAGCUUUCUGUCACUAUAAGAAAAUACCAGAGAGACACAACUUAAAACAGGAAAAUUUUCUUUUGUCUCAUGGUUUCAGACCAUAGUUGGCUGACUCCAUUGCUUUUGAGCCUGUGGCAAGGCAGAAUAUCAUGACAGGAAGCAUUUGGUGGAGCAGUGGUGCUCUCCUCAUGGUGGCCAGGAAGCAUGAGAGAGAGAAGGGGCUGGGGUCCCAGUGUCCCUUCAAGGCCACACCUCCAGUGACCUAUCUUCCUUCUACUUGGCUCCAACUCUUGACUGUCCCAUCACCUUCCAAUAAGUACCACAGAUUGAGUACCAAGCCUUUAGCUUUAGUGACAAAAGGUUAGGUGUUAUUUGUGGACUGCUCAUUUUUGAGUAAGAAUUUGGGGGUCACCGCAUGACACUGGCCACUGAAUGGAGCCUCCAGGAAUGUGGAGCACGUGCCGGGAAGCUGACGUCCACAUGCCUUGCAGGGGCAGGGACCGUCAGUGGGCACACUUCUCAGUUCUCAGGUUCCACUGUCUUCAAGCAAGUCUCUUACCCAGUAACCUCGGUUACAGGACUUGAUGCCUUAGCUCAGAGGCUCGGUGGCAGUGCUGCAGCAGUCUGCACAGGGCUGGGCUCUGACAGGGACUGCUGAGGCCCCGGGGAGCAGGGAUGUGCACAGACUCACCAUGUUAUUUUUUCUUUUGGCAUUUGAAAAGUGUCAGAUUAUAUUGUGGACUGAUCCACACUGGAAGGUUAUUAAAGUAAAUAAGCAGAAGGCUGCCAAACACAUAAGAUAGCCUUUCUCAGGUUUCCUAAAGGAAAACUGGCUGGGGAUUGUUGGAGGAUGCUGGAUUUACAUCUCAAGAAUCGAGCUCUCUCUGUUCUACAAGUAGACCCCUCACACAUGUCCACUGUCCCUUCUCACCAUAACUCUCAGCACUGCUUUGUCCAAGGGCAAGUUCAAACCAAUCCAAGCGUCCACCAACAGGAGAAUGAAUAGGCAGCAUGGUGUACUGUAUAACUAUAUGGUGAAAUAUUACUCAGCCAUGGAAAAAAGGGCAUGCUGAUGCAUAUUACUAUGUAGAUAACCUGGACAAUGUGGAAAGUGAAAUAAGUCAAUCACAAUGGACAAGUUCUGCAUGAUUCCAUUUGCAUGAAAUAUCUAGAACAGGCAAAUUCAUAGACAUAGAAAGUAGACUCAAGGUUACCAGGGGCUGGGGUGGAGGAGGGAGUGGGAAUUAGCAUUAAAUGGAUAUAGAAUUCAUGGUGGUGAGGUUGUGAAAGUACUUAGUGCCACUGAACUGUACACUUAACCUGGUUAACCCAGCAGAUUUUAUGUUACAUGUACUUUAACACACACAAAAGAAAGAGGGAGAGAGACAGAAAGAGAGAGAGGCACACACUCCCACUUCUGGAGAAAUGGAGUGGACAUACUUUUCCCCAUUUCUUCUGCAGCGAAAGCUCUGCACAUGGCAAACCCAAGAAGUGACCCACCUGUGAGUUUCCCGGGUUUUCUUUUUGCCUCUCACACCCCAGGUGUGGGGCCAAGAAGUCAGCCACCUGCAGGCAACAACAGUUGCUGGGAAGACGAAGAAGAAAGAAGCCCUGGGGCGCGGGCUUGGCACUGAAGGUGCUGGUUUCAGAUUUGAUGGGUGAUGAAGGAUCUGCCAUAGGGGGAACCUGUCUUUGGGUCUGGGGAUAGGGUGACCCCGUCUUUGGGUCUGGGAGCAGCUCCAGAUCGGUGGAUGCAAAGCUUCUGGUGGGUCUCAAAGCCACCCACAACUCCUCUAAACUCUCCAAAUACAAAGCCUAUGCUGGGAUCUAAAUGUGACCUCUUGACUCAUUUCUAAUCCUCACUGGAAAUUUUCAAAGACCAAUUGGAUCCCCUAGGUGGGGUCACCUUGAUUAUGUAACUCAUUAUCGUGACUGCAGAAGCCACCCAAUCUCAGGCAAUUGUUUCCAAAUAAACAGAGUUACUCAGGAGAACUUAUGCCCAGACCUGUCAUUGUUCCAACACUUUUAUACAAGAACUGAGUUUCUAAAAUUCAAACUCUUAUCCCUAGUAAAGAUUAGUUAACUGUUAAUCCUGUGAGAAAAGCAAAAUUUAACACAAAAAGGAACCCCAGUGGCAAGUCUCUCUGCUUCCUUGUAAACAUCAAGAUAAAGAGUGAGGUAAAGGCUGGAGGUGAAAUUUCAUUUUCGUCCCUCACUUUCUUUGCUGUGCCGAAAAAAAUACUCAGCAAAACUCUCUGUGCCUUUGUUUUCUUAUCUGUAAAAUUGGAGUAAUGCUAAUAAUAAAGAAUCUAAAAAUUAUUAAAAAGUUCACUGCAUACAAUUUUCAUCACAAAUUCAUAAAUCUUGGAACGCAGGGACUCUCUUCAUCUUUAGAACAUUCCAGAAAAACCUAGUCUGCUUGCUGCCUUAUAGACAUGCUCAGGGAGGGCUUAACUGACCAAAGCUCUGUAUCCAUGGCUGAGUAUUCAAGUCCGCUGGAGCUGCAGGGGACAUACACAAUCUCAUCUUUGCAUCCCUGGGGCUGAAGAACUAUGUCCCGGGGGCCACAGGUCCUGUUCUGGAUGGCUUAGAAAUCUACCCACUCCCUAAUCCUGGGCUGGAAUGUCUCAGUGGCAGGGCUGAUGGGUACAGUCCUUCAUUAGAAGUUCUGAGAAACAGUCAUCUCUCAUUUAUAUAUCUUCCUCAGAGUUUCAGCCUUAUCUUGGCUUCCUCAAAUCUAACUAAUCUAGCCACAAAGCUACUCGAUAAAGAAGUGGAAUUUUUAAUUCCUAGGUUGCAAAUUAAGAAACCUGUGCCUGUGGGGAGCAGGUUAAGUGGUUAUGUCACUGGAAAGCAUUCAAUUUUUUGGUGGUGCUGGGGAUUGAACCCAGGGCCUUAUGCAUGCCAGGCAAGCAUUCUACCAACUGAGCUAUAUCUCCAGCCCCUAAAGCAUUCAAAUUUAAGUAUAUAAAAAGUAUAAAUAAAGUUCAACACUUACUUCAUAUUUUAUCCAUUUGGUUCUAUUUGUCAGGCACCAAAAGAGAAGGAUUUGACAUUCAUAUCCUUUGCCUGUAUUUCCUCUUCCUGAAUGAUCUGUGUAACUUUAAUUUUCUAAAUCACAAGGUGGUAGGUUAACUUUAGUGUAAGAAAAAUGUAGAUCUGGAGAUCACUUUUUGAGAAGUCUGUCUAGAUAUUUAAUUAAGAAAGUCUCUCAUUAAGAAAACAGGUAACAGAAUUUUUUAAUUUUUACCUCAGUCUCAAGUAGUCAAUUAUUAGUUAAAAUGCAUUUACAGGAUAUCCUAAGUCAAGGGUUAAUGAAAUUUGUCAUUUAUUUCACCUUCUGUAAGAGGAUUACCACAAACUUUAUUCUUGGGUGUCUUGCUUAUUAUUUACAUGAAUUAUUUAUCUUAUGUCUUGAAAUUUAAUACAUGUCAUAGAGCUGCAAAUUACACGAUCCAUCUUGGGUUUUGUAGUUUGCUGUCUAAAUGGGUAAUCAAUCUCAGCUAUUAGUUUUAUUUAUUAAGCCCAGCUGGAGAAGUAGAAGUUUGACCCCAUCUUACAUUAUGCUAAAAACAGGAAUGGUUCGUCCAGAAUGUUAAAGGCAGUGCAGCUAAAGGCAAAACCAAUUUAAGUGAAAGGUAAAUUAAUAAAUACUGGGCCAAUCCUUCGUGUCAGGAUUAUAGGAGGAGAUUAAUAUAUUGUCCCUGCCAAGACAGAAACCAGAGCAUGCUGGCCAACAACAACAACAACAAUAACAAAAAAACACUGAAUUACAUCAUGGUUUCAAGAGUCAUUCUGAAUCAGUAAAACAAACUUUGGAAAGUUUAAGAAAUAAACUCUCAGAUGGCAAGACUUACCAGUUUCCUCUUGUUUAAUUUUUUUCCCAUACUAUUGGUCUAUCCUAAGACCUUCAAGCAAAAUGGAUCAGAAUGGUCUAAGAGCCAUCUAGGAAUAGUAAUGCUGAGAAAAACUGAUAGUGAGAUCAGUUUUUCUGAGUUACUCUUUGUCUGGCUGCCUUUCAUUUGAGAGUACAGAACAGAGGAAGAUUUAGGCACUGUGACCAGGCCUCUUGGCUUGGGGGGUUUGAGGGGAAGGAGGAUGGGUUACAGAAUAAGAAACUAAACUCAAAAUUUUCAGCACAAAAUCUGCUAUUCUCAUGUUUUUUUCUUUACCUCAAAUUAAAACUUAUAUUUAUCACCCAAAUUCUUAACCCAGUUUUUACUUUUAGACUUUCUAAACAGCUAAAUACUUAGCUUUUUUAUGAACUAGAAGAGUAUGCAGAAUCCCAGAACUUUGGCUACUAAAAAAUACUGCAGAAAGAGAAUGUGGCGUGCUGUGGUCGUGAUGAUUGAGUCUUAAACGCUGUGUGUGAAUAUCAUUUCUCCGCAGCGGGGUCUCUGUGAGUCCUUUUUUCUCUGCUAGAACGUUGUCCUCCCUCACCCUGCUGUGUUGUACAGGCAGCCUUUAACUCAGUGUCCCAGUUAUUUGGGGGAAGUUUUCUAAGUCUUCAGAGGAACCCAGGUCCUCCUCUGUUCUGGAGUCUCCUAUCCUGUCCAAGGACUAACUUUGAUGGCAGGAAAAUUGACAUUACUUGAUUGGUGUCUGUCUCUCCCAAGGGAAAGGGGCCCCUGGGGUCAAGGGCUUUGCCACCUUUCCUCCUCAGUUUGCCUCCAGCUCUUAGCGCAGCACUUGGAGCUUAGCAGACCUCCAUUAAUACUUGUUGAAUCAAUGACUGAGAAGUGAGAGCAUUUUGCUUUUGAAUUGGUGAGAAAAGGGAUGGGAAACACAACUUUUGUGCCUUCCCAAACCAUCAUGGAACGUGUAUUCCUGAAACCACUAAGAAGGACGAUUUCUCCCAGGGGUUAUAAGUGCAGGUCUGACUAUGUUCAGCGCUGGCUGAACUGGAAAUUACUAAAAAUGGUGCUGAAAGCUUCUCUGUUGUGCAACAAAUGUAUAACUGGCUUUAAAGUUGACAUCGAUUUUCUAUCUUGCAGUGGGAAGAAGGAAGAAGGAGACAACUGAGAUGAACCUCACCUGUAUAUUGUUGGGUCACUCCUGAUUCUCCCACUCCUGCAGCGUCUGCGCAGCUUCCGGGACAUGUUUUAUUGCUCCAAUUCAACAGGAGAGAUCAACAACUGGACCCAGUUUGUGGAGACUGGAAAACAGGAUUUCCUUUUGUUUUAUGACCUCAGUUUCCACCUCCUCCACCUCUGUGGCCUCUAGUUCCUCUUUCCUUUGUCAGGGAAGGUGUCACCUAUGGGUUUCCUCCUCAAAAUUGCAAAGGAAAUUCAAGAUAUAGUUCCUUUUCAGUCUGCAUCUUGGCUUCGUGACAAAACUCAGCUAUUGUUUUGAAGAGAAAUAUGAAAUGGAAUAGUAAAAAUUGAGAUCUAUGCAAGAAGUUCCCUCUAGUUCAUUUUCAUCUUGUCUUCAAUUAGCUCAACAAUAUGUGUAUUGCACAUUUUGAAACAGAAGGCACUGUGGUAUGUGUUAGCUAAUAAAAAACAUU
This 13743-nucleotide long non-coding RNA is filed under the name Marmota monax (woodchuck). Lineage: Eukaryota; Metazoa; Chordata; Mammalia; Rodentia; Sciuridae. The record is from RNAcentral.